GGGGGAUAUUGCGCAAUGGGGGCAACCCUGACGCAGCAACGCCGCGUGAAGGAUGAAGGUUUUCGGAUUGUAAACUUCUUUUAUUAAGGACGAAAAAUGACGGUACUUAAUGAAUAAGCUCCGGCUAACUACGUGCCAGCAGCCGCGGUAAUACGUAGGGAGCAAGCGUUGUCCGGAUUUACUGGGUGUAAAGGGUGCGUAGGCGGCUUUGCAAGUCAGAUGUGAAAUCUAUGGGCUCAACCCAUAAACUGCAUUUGAAACUGUAGAGCUUGAGUGAAGUAGAGGCAGGCGGAAUUCCCCGUGUAGCGGUGAAAUGCGUAGAGAUGGGGAGGAACACCAGUGGCGAAGGCGGCCUGCUGGGCUUUGACUGACGCUGAGGCACGAAAGCGUGGGUAGCAAACAGGAUUAGAUACCCUGGUAGUCCACGCUGUAAACGAUGAUUACUAGGUGUGGGGGGUCUGACCCCUUCCGUGCCGGAGUUAACACAAUAAGUAAUCCACCUGGGGAGUACGGCCGCAAGGUUGAAACUCAAAGGAAUCGACGGGGGCCCGCACAAGCAGUGGAGUAUGUGGUUUAAUUCGAAGCAACGCGAAGAACCUUACCAGGUCUUGACAUCCAACUAACGAAGUAGAGAUACAUUAGGUGCCCUUCGGGGAAAGUUGAGACAGGUGGUGCAUGGUUGUCGUCAGCUCGUGUCGUGAGAUGUUGGGUUAAGUCCCGCAACGAGCGCAACCCUUGCUAUUAGUUGCUACGCAAGAGCACUCUAAUAGGACUGCCGUUGACAAAACGGAGGAAGGUGGGGACGACGUCAAAUCAUCAUGCCCCUUAUGACCUGGGCUACACACGUACUACAAUGGAUGUUAACAGAGGGAAGCAAGACAGCGAUGUGGAGCAAACCCCUAAAAACAUUCUCAGUUCAGAUUGCAGGCUGCAACCCGCCUGCAUGAAGAUGGAAUUGCUAGUAAUCGCGGAUCAGCAUGCCGCGGUGAAUACGUUCCCG
This 1000-nucleotide ribosomal RNA is filed under the name uncultured organism. RNAcentral describes it as "bacterial SSU rRNA". It matches the Rfam family "Bacterial small subunit ribosomal RNA", at positions 356 to 1376 of the family's 1533-position model. The record is from RNAcentral.